ACCAGACUCCUACGGGAGGCAGCAGUGGGGGAUAUUGCACAAUGGGGGGAACCCUGAUGCAGCGACGCCGCGUGGGUGAAGAAGUAUUUCGGUAUGUAAAGCCCUAUCGGCAGGGAAGAAAUUGGACGGUACCUGACUAAGAAGCCCCGGCUAACUACGUGCCAGCAGCCGCGGUAAUACGUAGGGGGCAAGCGUUAUCCGGAUUCACUGGGUGUAAAGGGAGCGUAGACGGCCAUGCAAGCCUGGAGUGAAAGCCCGGGGCCCAACCCCGGGACUGCUCUGGGAACUGUGCGGCUGGAGUGCGGGAGGGGCGGGCGGAAUUCCUGGUGUAGCGGUGAAAUGCGUAGAUAUCAGGAGGAACACCGGCGGCGAAGGCGGCCUGCUGGACCGCGACUGACGUUGAGGCUCGAAAGCGUGGGGAGCAAACAGGAUUAGAUACCCGUGUA
This 446-nucleotide ribosomal RNA is filed under the name uncultured bacterium. RNAcentral's name for it is "bacterial SSU rRNA". It matches the Rfam family "Bacterial small subunit ribosomal RNA", at positions 330 to 792 of the family's 1533-position model. The record is from RNAcentral.